This 2112-nucleotide long non-coding RNA is filed under the name Fragaria vesca (wild strawberry). RNAcentral's name for it is "long non-coding RNA (FVES_LNC004504)". The record is from RNAcentral. Lineage: Eukaryota; Viridiplantae; Streptophyta; Magnoliopsida; Rosales; Rosaceae.
UUUUUUUUUAACAAGGAUCAGACGACAGUAAAACGUUUUUACUAUUGUCUGAUAACUUUUAACGAAUUCUGUCUCAACAAUGGUUGGCAAAUAUGUAAACAAAAUUUUCGUUUAAGACGACAGUGGUCUGUGGUCUCAACAAUGCACUAAAUAUUUUUAUAUCUGUAUACGAACUAUAAUUUUUAGAACAACUUCAGGCUUUUUUUUGGACACCAAUGAAAAUCUGGCUUGUGAACGGACUAAAGACAAUGUCAGGAGCAAUGAUAUUGCUCCUUGGUACACCACUAGAACCUCACUUGUGGAACAUGUAAAAUACUCGUACCCUUUCAACAUUAUCAUCAGUUAAAAGCUUUGCAUGUGUGAAAUAGUAUAAUCUAGUGGAGAUUAAUGUCUAUUUUUUGGAGUUUACUUAGGAUAGGCACCUGAGCAGUUUAUUCCAUAUGCAUAAAUGUACAUAGUCAGAUAGAUACAAUGAUGGAUUCUUCCAUCAAGACCACAUAGUUAUGCUUUUGUUUCUUUUUGGUGCAGAACUCAGCAUGCUGUUGACUUCAAAAAGGGGGGUGCCAAUGUUCACCAGUUGAAGGGUAGCGGCUCGAGAUACUUGGCUAGCUUUCUGUGAAUACCACCAGUGGAAGACCACUACGGUUUGUCCAAGGCUGAGUGAAGCUAGUAGGUUUUAUUGCUUUAAUAGCUUGAUUCUUUUUCAUAAAUCCUUGGUAUUUUAUAUUUUUUAAAUGACAUAAAUGGAAUGCGUUGAAACCCUUGGGGAAAUCUUAUAAUGCCGGUUUAGCCCUAUCUGUCACACAUCAUUCCUUGUUUAUUUGUAGUUUGUGGAAGCAUAGUGAUGUCUUUGCUUGUUGUUUUACUUUCUAUACGACUGUUUCCUCCAAAUAUAUUUUCAUUCCCUGCAAAGCUAUAAUUGCACGCGUAGAUUGGAAUUUGAACUUCUUGGGAUUGGUUAUUAUUAGAGCUUAACCUGCUUGAGGUAUCCAAUAAAAGGAACAAAUAGAAGAUUCUGUUGUAAUCGCAUCUGUGCCACUUCUGCUUUUCAUAGCUUGCCUGUUUUAUUGUACAUGUUUGUCAUGGUGUUGAGUUUCAUGUAUGUUAAUUCCCUGGAGACCUGAAAGAGCUCUUGCAUUCAAGGAUGAUGAUAUACCUACUGAGAAUCUAGAGAAAAGAUCUGAAGUAAUACCUUGAAUGGAAAUGGUAUCUCAUGACAGGAAGGUGGAAUAUGCUAAAACCCCAUUGCAAUAUGAAAGUGCCGAUAACUGCCUCGUUUCAACCCCUGUUGUCAGUACAACUGUAUGAUACCUUUUUCUGAGUUGACUAUAAUUAUGGCUUAUUUAUUUUCACAGCUGUGGUGUUUACACUUGUACUCUUUAAACCAAAUAAAAACUGUUAUAAUUCUUUAUUACAGUUGCACUUGGCACUUUUUUUGAACAUUGUUGUAAAUAAUGUCUUCAGGUCCCUGAUGAAGAUGUAGCUUCACCUGUUGAGCUGGCAAAAGCUUACAUGGACAAUAGGUCUUCAAAAGUAUCCCCAUCAUUGCUGGGUCUGCGUAGUCGAGCAGUCUAUGAAGAUUUCACAUAUUUCAAACAGUGUGGCAUUUCCUUCCAAAUCAUCGCAAAUGUCAGUCAUUCCUCGAUUUUCUAGCCAUGGGGCGGCACCAGAGAAUGGUUUUGCAACCCCUAGAUCUCGAGGCAGAUCUGCAAUAUACAAUAUGGACAGAUUGGUGACAAGGGUGCAUUAAAGAUGAGUAUUGUUAGAACUCUGUUUUUUUAUUUGAUUUAAGUUCCAAUUUUGCUUUUAUAAAGUAUGCGUUAGUCUAAUAAAGACUUCAAUUAGAUAUAAGUACUGAUGUGAGCUCAAUUAAGAACAGAUACAGGACUAAUCUGAUGUGUAUUGCUUAUAAUUUGAGUGUUUGCUUUGGGAAGGUUGUGAAUAUAGAGAGCUGGUAUUAAUUGGAUUAAUGGGACUGCCUAGAUAUGAAAACUGAUGUUUGGAAAGUGAGUUUUAGGUUUGAUAGCUUGAUUUUUAUGGAUAGCUUGAUUUUAUCCCAACUCGGAAAUUUUUUAUGGAAAGUUUAUAUUUGUGUUUUGUUACGAUGGUACU